UACGAGGGGGGCGAGCGUUGUUCGGAAUUAUUGGGCGUAAAGGGUGCGUAGGCGGUUUGGUAAGUCUGAUGUGAAAUCUAUGGGCUCAACUCAUAGUCUGCAUCGGAAACUGCCGGGCUUGAGUAUGGGAGAGGUGAGUGGAAUUCCUGGUGUAGCGGUGGAAUGCGCAGAUAUCAGGAGGAACACCGAUGGCGAAGGCAGAUCUCUGGGCCGUAACUGACGCUGAGGAGCGAAAGCAUGGGGAGCGAACAGG
Molecule: ribosomal RNA, 253 nt
Filed under: uncultured bacterium
Lineage: Bacteria
Description: partial 16S ribosomal RNA
Rfam family: Bacterial small subunit ribosomal RNA
Source: RNAcentral